Molecule: ribosomal RNA, 520 nt
Filed under: uncultured Glomus
Lineage: Eukaryota; Fungi; Glomeromycota; Glomeromycetes; Glomerales; Glomeraceae
Description: SSU rRNA
Rfam family: Eukaryotic small subunit ribosomal RNA
Source: RNAcentral
AGCAGCCGCGGUAAUUCCAGCUCCAAUAGCGUAUAUUAAAGUUGUUGCAGUUAAAAAGCUCGUAGUUGAAUUUCGGGAUCAGUAGGUCGGUCGUGCCACUGGUAUGCACUGGCCUCACUGGUUCCUCCUUCCUGAUGAACCGUAAUGCCAUUAAUUUGGUGUUGCGGGGAAACUGGACUGUUACUUUGAAAAAAUUAGAGUGUUUAAAGCAGGCUAACGCUUGAAUACAUUAGCAUGAAAUAAUGAAAUAGGACGAUCGAUCCUAUUUUGUUGGUUUCUAGGAUUGACGUAAUGAUUAAUAGGGAUAGUUGGGGGCAUUAGUAUUCAAUUGUCAGAGGUGAAAUUCUUGGAUUUAAUUGAAGACUAACUACUAGCGAAAGCAUUUGCCAAGGAUGUUUUCAUUAAUCAAGAACGAAAGUUAGGGGAUCGAAGACGAUCAGAUACCGUACGUAGUCUUAACCAUAAACUAUAGCCGACUAGGGAUCGGAUGAUGUUAAUUUUUAAUUGACUCAUUCGGCGU